AUACGGAGGGUGCAAGCGUUACUCGGAAUCACUGGGCGUAAAGCGCGCGCAGGCGGUCUUUUAAGUUGGAUGUGAAAGCCUACGGCUCAACCGUAGAACUGCAUCCAAAACUAUUAGACUAGAGUGUGGGAGAGGAAGAUGGAAUUAGUUGUGUAGGGGUAAAAUCCGUUGAGAUAACUAGGAAUACCAAAAGCGAAGGCAAUCUUCUGGAACACUACUGACGCUGAGGCGCGAAAGCGUGGGGAGCAAACAGGAUUAGAAACCCUAGUAGUCC
Molecule: ribosomal RNA, 274 nt
Filed under: uncultured bacterium
Lineage: Bacteria
Description: partial 16S ribosomal RNA
Rfam family: Bacterial small subunit ribosomal RNA
Source: RNAcentral